Molecule: ribosomal RNA, 441 nt
Filed under: uncultured bacterium
Lineage: Bacteria
Description: partial 16S ribosomal RNA
Rfam family: Bacterial small subunit ribosomal RNA
Source: RNAcentral
CCUACGGGUGGCAGCAGUGGGGAAUAUUGGGCAAUGGGCGCAAGCCUGACCCAGCGACGCCGCGUGAGGGAAGACGGUCUUCGGAUUGUAAACCUCUUUCAGCAGGGAAGACAAAAGGACGGUACCUGCAGAAGAAGUCACGGCUAACUACGUGCCAGCAGCCGCGGUAAUACGGAGGAUGCGAGCGUUAUCCGGAUUUAUUGGGUUUAAAGGGUGCGUAGGCGGGCUUUUAAGUCAGCGGUAAAAAUUCGGGGCUCAACCCCGUCCGGCCGUUGAAACUGGGGGCCUUGAGUGGGCGAGAAGAAGGCGGAAUGCGUGGUGUAGCGGUGAAAUGCAUAGAUAUCACGCAGAACCCCGAUUGCGAAGGCAGCCUUCCGGCGCCCUACUGACGCUGAGGCACGAAAGUGCGGGGAUCGAACAGGAUUAGAUACCCGAGUAGUC